RNAcentral lists this ribosomal RNA (433 nucleotides) under uncultured Bacillus sp. RNAcentral describes it as "bacterial SSU rRNA". It matches the Rfam family "Bacterial small subunit ribosomal RNA", at positions 891 to 1323 of the family's 1533-position model. The record is from RNAcentral. Lineage: Bacteria; Bacillati; Bacillota; Bacilli; Caryophanales; Bacillaceae.
AGGCUGAUACUCAAAGGAAUUGCCGGGGUCCCGCACAAGACGGUGGAGCAUGUGGUUUAAUUCGAAGCAACGCGAAGUACCUUACCAGGUCUCGACAUCCUCUGACAGCCCUAGAGAUAGGGCUUCUCCUUCGGGAGCAGAGUGACAGGUGGUGCAUGGUUGUCGUCAGCUCGUGUCGUGAGAUGUUGGGUUAAGUCCCGCAACGAGCGCAACCCUUGAUUCUUAGUUGCCAUCAUUAAGUUGGGCACUCUAAGGUGACUGCCGGUGACAAACCGGAGGAAGGUGGGGAUGACGUCAAAUCAUCAUGCCCCUUAUGACCUGGGCUACACACGUGCUACAAUGGACGGUACAAAGAGCUGCAAGACCGCGAGGUGGAGCUAAUCUCAUAAAACCGUUCUCAGUUCGGAUUGUAGGCUGCCACUCGCCUACAUGA